Molecule: long non-coding RNA, 873 nt
Organism: Pocillopora damicornis (cauliflower coral)
Lineage: Eukaryota; Metazoa; Cnidaria; Anthozoa; Scleractinia; Pocilloporidae
Source: RefSeq, a predicted model, not a curated record
AUCAGACAAUUACAUUAUCAUUGUCAAAGUUUUCCUUUAGCUCGCGCUCCAGUGCAGGAUAACGACGAAAGCAACAUCUCAGCGAUUGGUUCGUUGAGACGCACGUGCUUUACAUUUGUUGCGUAACAGUGCGAGACACUUCACCCAAAAGAAAAGCCUUCGGUUAGCCGUGUCUUUUCAAACUCACAAGUUUUUUGCGAGAAACGCCAUUGGAAGAGUUAUAAAAUGGGAUCAGCUUUGAGUUCAUUCAAGUCAAAGAGAAAAGGAAGGAAGGUUAGCAAAAGGUAAGGGAUUCUUGAGAAGAUUUCAGAAAAAACGGAAGCUGAAAAAGAUGAAGUACUGUACUUCGUAAAGACGUUUUCAGUUCCUUACGCUUCCUUGAAAGUUUCUUACGCAUUCGGUGUUUAUUUUUUGGUAUUUGAUGUUAGAUGGUUUACUAGUCGCUUUGAAAUUCUUUUUUAGUUUUAUUAGGGUAGUUAUGAUAAACUUUUGCCAUCAUUGAUCUGUUUUGUUCUUUCCUACAAUAGAAGGUUGAGGGAGCAGUUGAAGGAGGCUCAAGAGUGUAUCGCUCGACUCCAAGAACAACUGCUGCUUGAAAAUAAGUUACUUGAUCAGUUUCCAAGUCACCAAAGUGAUAACUCGGAUACUAUAACCGAUGCAAUUGAGGCAUACUGUGGAAUGACAGAAAUGGAAAAAGAAAUUCAAACUUUGCAGAGAAAACUUUUUUUCGGAGAAGUUGCAUUGAAACUUACGCAAGAGAGAUGUCAGCUGAUGGAGAACAAUUACAACCUUCUCCGAACUAAGGAGAAAAACCUUCUCUGGCAGAGCCUAGCGUGUCAAACAAAACUACAGGAUUUGAAAUCAAAACACGAG